RNAcentral lists this ribosomal RNA (1041 nucleotides) under Paenibacillus sp. OK076. Its description in RNAcentral is "bacterial LSU rRNA". It matches the Rfam family "Bacterial large subunit ribosomal RNA", at positions 172 to 1209 of the family's 2925-position model. The record is from RNAcentral. Lineage: Bacteria; Bacillati; Bacillota; Bacilli; Caryophanales; Paenibacillaceae.
UGUAGAGGCAUACCAGGGGAACUGAAACAUCUAAGUACCCUGAGGAAGAGAAAACAAUAGUGAUUCCGUCAGUAGCGGCGAGCGAACGCGGAGAAGCCCAAACCAGAGAGCUUGCUCUUUGGGGUUGUGGGACAUCUCACAUGGAGUUACAAAGGAGCCGGUUAAACGAAGAGGUCUGGAAAGGCCCGCCAAAGAAGGUAAAAGCCCUGUAGUUGAAAGCCUGCUCUCUCCGAGAUGUAUCCCGAGUAGUGCGGGGCACGUGAAACCCCGUAUGAAUCCGGCAGGACCAUCUGCCAAGGCUAAAUACUUCCUAGCGACCGAUAGUGAAGCAGUACCGUGAGGGAAAGGUGAAAAGCACCCCGGAAGGGGAGUGAAAUAGAACCUGAAACCGUGUGCUUACAAAAAGUCAGAGCCCGUUUUAGGGGUGAUGGCGUGCCUUUUGUAGAAUGAACCGGCGAGUUACGUUCCCGUGCAAGGUUAAGGUGAAGAGCCGGAGCCGCAGCGAAAGCGAGUCUGAAUAGGGCGACAUAGUACGUGGACGUAGACCCGAAACCGGGUGAUCUACCCCUGUCCAGGGUGAAGGUGCGGUAACACGCACUGGAGGCCCGAACCCACGCACGUUGAAAAGUGCGGGGAUGAGGUGGGGGUAGCGGAGAAAUUCCAAUCGAACUCGGAGAUAGCUGGUUCUCCCCGAAAUAGCUUUAGGGCUAGCCUCGGAAAACAGAGUCGUGGAGGUAGAGCACUGAUUGGGUGCGGGGCCCGCAAGGGUUACCAAGCUCAGUCAAACUCCGAAUGCCAUAGACUUACUUCCGGGAGUCAGACAGUGAGUGCUAAGAUCCAUUGUCAAAAGGGAAACAGCCCAGACCAUCAGCUAAGGUCCCCAAGUGUGUGUUAAGUGGGAAAGGAUGUGGAGUUGCACAGACAACCAGGAUGUUGGCUUAGAAGCAGCCACCAUUGAAAGAGUGCGUAAUAGCUCACUGGUCGAGUGACUCUGCGCCGAAAAUGUAACGGGGCUAAACACACCACCGAAGCUAUGGCUUG